Molecule: ribosomal RNA, 460 nt
Filed under: uncultured bacterium
Lineage: Bacteria
Description: partial 16S ribosomal RNA
Rfam family: Bacterial small subunit ribosomal RNA
Source: RNAcentral
CCUACGGGAGGCAGCAGUGAGGAAUAUUGGUCAAUGGACGAGAGUCUGAACCAGCCAAGUAGCGUGAAGGAUGACUGCCCUAUGGGUUGUAAACUUCUUUUAUAUGGGAAUAAAAUGUUCCACGUGUGGGAUUUUGUAUGUACCAUAUGAAUAAGGAUCGGCUAACUCCGUGCCAGCAGCCGCGGUAAUACUGAGGAUCCGAGCGUUAUCCGGAUUUAUUGGGUUUAAAGGGAGCGUAGGUGGAUUGUUAAGUCAGUUGUGAAAGUUUGCGGCUCAACCGUAAAAUUGCAGUUGAAACUGGCAGUCUUGAGUACAGUAGAGGUGGGCGGAAUUCGUGGUGUAGCGGUGAAAUGCUUAGAUAUCACGAAGAACUCCGAUUGCGAAGGCAGUUCACUGGACUGCAACUGACACUGAGGCUCGAAAGUGUGGGUAUCAAACAGGAUUAGAUACCCGAGUAGUC